RNAcentral lists this ribosomal RNA (1411 nucleotides) under Leuconostoc citreum. RNAcentral describes it as "bacterial SSU rRNA". It matches the Rfam family "Bacterial small subunit ribosomal RNA". Lineage: Bacteria; Bacillati; Bacillota; Bacilli; Lactobacillales; Lactobacillaceae. The record is from RNAcentral.
CGCGCAGCGAGAGGUGCUUGCACCUUUCAAGCGAGUGGCGAACGGGUGAGUAACACGUGGAUAACCUGCCUCAAGGCUGGGGAUAACAUUUGGAAACAGAUGCUAAUACCGAAUAAAACUUAGUAUCGCAUGAUAUCAAGUUAAAAGGCGCUACGGCGUCACCUAGAGAUGGAUCCGCGGUGCAUUAGUUAGUUGGUGGGGUAAAGGCUUACCAAGACGAUGAUGCAUAGCCGAGUUGAGAGACUGAUCGGCCACAUUGGGACUGAGACACGGCCCAAACUCCUACGGGAGGCUGCAGUAGGGAAUCUUCCACAAUGGGCGCAAGCCUGAUGGAGCAACGCCGCGUGUGUGAUGAAGGCUUUCGGGUCGUAAAGCACUGUUGUAUGGGAAGAAAUGCUAAAAUAGGGAAUGAUUUUAGUUUGACGGUACCAUACCAGAAAGGGACGGCUAAAUACGUGCCAGCAGCCGCGGUAAUACGUAUGUCCCGAGCGUUAUCCGGAUUUAUUGGGCGUAAAGCGAGCGCAGACGGUUGAUUAAGUCUGAUGUGAAAGCCCGGAGCUCAACUCCGGAAUGGCAUUGGAAACUGGUUAACUUGAGUGUUGUAGAGGUAAGUGGAACUCCAUGUGUAGCGGUGGAAUGCGUAGAUAUAUGGAAGAACACCAGUGGCGAAGGCGGCUUACUGGACAACAACUGACGUUGAGGCUCGAAAGUGUGGGUAGCAAACAGGAUUAGAUACCCUGGUAGUCCACACCGUAAACGAUGAAUACUAGGUGUUAGGAGGUUUCCGCCUCUUAGUGCCGAAGCUAACGCAUUAAGUAUUCCGCCUGGGGAGUACGACCGCAAGGUUGAAACUCAAAGGAAUUGACGGGGACCCGCACAAGCGGUGGAGCAUGUGGUUUAAUUCGAAGCAACGCGAAGAACCUUACCAGGUCUUGACAUCCUUUGAAGCUUUUAGAGAUAGAAGUGUUCUCUUCGGAGACAAAGUGACAGGUGGUGCAUGGUCGUCGUCAGCUCGUGUCGUGAGAUGUUGGGUUAAGUCCCGCAACGAGCGCAACCCUUAUUGUUAGUUGCCAGCAUUCAGUUGGGCACUCUAGCGAGACUGCCGGUGACAAACCGGAGGAAGGCGGGGACGACGUCAGAUCAUCAUGCCCCUUAUGACCUGGGCUACACACGUGCUACAAUGGCGUAUACAACGAGUUGCCAACCUGCGAAGGUGAGCUAAUCUCUUAAAGUACGUCUCAGUUCGGACUGCAGUCUGCAACUCGACUGCACGAAGUCGGAAUCGCUAGUAAUCGCGGAUCAGCACGCCGCGGUGAAUACGUUCCCGGGUCUUGUACACACCGCCCGUCACACCAUGGGAGUUUGUAAUGCCCAAAGCCGGUGGCCUAACCUUCGGGAGGGAGCCGUCUAA